AGCGAACGCUGGCGGCAGGCCUAACACAUGCAAGUCGAACGGAUCCUUCGGGAUUAGUGGCGGACGGGUGAGUAACACGUGGGAACGUGCCUUUUGGUUCGGAACAACUCAGGGAAACUUGAGCUAAUACCGGAUAAGCCCUUCGGGGAAGGAUUUAUCGCCAUUAGAGCGGCCCGCGUCUGAUUAGCUAGUUGGUGAGGUAAAGGCUCACCAAGGCUACGAUCAGUAGCUGGUCUGAGAGGAUGAUCAGCCACAUUGGGACUGAGACACGGCCCAAACUCCUACGGGAGGCAGCAGUGGGGAAUCUUGCGCAAUGGGCGAAAGCCUGACGCAGCCAUGCCGCGUGAAUGACGAAGGUCUUA
This 362-nucleotide ribosomal RNA is filed under the name uncultured bacterium. RNAcentral's name for it is "bacterial SSU rRNA". It matches the Rfam family "Bacterial small subunit ribosomal RNA", at positions 29 to 419 of the family's 1533-position model. The record is from RNAcentral.